GUCCACGCCGUAAACGAUGGAUACUAGGUGUGGGGGGACUGACCCCCUCCGUGCCGCAGCAAACGCAAUAAGUAUCCCACCUGGGGAGUACGAUCGCAAGGUUGAAACUCAAAGGAAUUGACGGGGGCCCGCACAAGCGGUGGAGUAUGUGGUUUAAUUCGAAGCAACGCGAAGAACCUUACCAGGGCUUGACAUCCUGCUAACGAGGUAGAGAUACGUUAGGUGCCCUUCGGGGAAAGCAGAGACAGGUGGUGCAUGGUUGUCGU
This 266-nucleotide ribosomal RNA is filed under the name uncultured bacterium. RNAcentral's name for it is "partial 16S ribosomal RNA". It matches the Rfam family "Bacterial small subunit ribosomal RNA", at positions 793 to 1055 of the family's 1533-position model. The record is from RNAcentral.